GUAGGUGGCAAGCGUUGUCCGGAAUUAUUGGGCGUAAAGCGCGCGCAGGCGGGUUCUUUAAGUCUGAUGUGAAAGCCCACGGGCUCAACCGUGGAGGGUCAUUGGAAACUGGAGAACUUGAGUACAGAAGAGGAAAGCGGAAUUCCACGUGUAGCGGUGAAAUGCGUAGAGAUGUGGAGGAACACCAGUGGCGAAGGCGGCUUUCUGGUCUGUAACUGACGCUGAGGCGCGAAAGCGUGGGGAGCAAACAGGAUUAGAUACCCUGGUAGUCCACGCCGUAAACGAUGAGUGCUAAGUGUUAGGGGGUUUCCGCCCCUUAGUGCUGCAGCUAACGCAUUAAGCACUCCGCCUGGGGAGUACGGCCGUAAAGGCUG
RNAcentral lists this ribosomal RNA (374 nucleotides) under uncultured organism. RNAcentral describes it as "partial 16S ribosomal RNA". It matches the Rfam family "Bacterial small subunit ribosomal RNA", at positions 527 to 896 of the family's 1533-position model. The record is from RNAcentral.